GCACAGGACAACUCCACGACGAAGAAUUACCUGACUUUAAUCUCGGAAGCUUAGCAGGGUCGGGCCUGGUUAGUACUUGGGUGGGAGACCACCUAGGAAGACCAGGUGCUGUAGGCG
RNAcentral lists this ribosomal RNA (117 nucleotides) under Pteropus alecto (black flying fox). The record is from RNAcentral. Lineage: Eukaryota; Metazoa; Chordata; Mammalia; Chiroptera; Pteropodidae.